AGAGCGAAUGCUGGCGGCAGGCCUAACACAUGCAAGUCGAGCGCCCGUAGCAAUACGGGAGCGGCAGACGGGAUAGUAACACGUGGGAACGCGCCCUUCGGUUCGGAAUAACUCAGGGAAACUUGAGCUAAUACCGAAUACGCCCUUACGGGGAAAGAUUUAUUGCCGAAGGAACGGCCCGCGUCCGAUUAGCUAGUUGGUGAGGUAAUGGCUCACCAAGGCUACGAUCGGUAGCUGGUCUGAGAGGAUGACCAGCAUCACUGGGACUGAGACACGGCCCAGACUCCUACGGGAGGCAGCAGUGGGGAAUAUUGGACAAUGGGCGAAAGCCUGAUCCAGCCAUGCCGCGUGGAUGAUGAAGGCCUUAGGGUUGUAAAGUCCUUUUAACGGGGAAGAUAAUGACGGUACCCGUAGAAUAAGCCCCGGCUAACUUCGUGCCAGCAGCCGC
RNAcentral lists this ribosomal RNA (448 nucleotides) under uncultured bacterium. RNAcentral describes it as "SSU rRNA". It matches the Rfam family "Bacterial small subunit ribosomal RNA", at positions 26 to 518 of the family's 1533-position model. The record is from RNAcentral.